GACGAACGCUGGCGGCGUGCUUAACACAUGCAAGUCGAACGGAAAGGCCCUUUCGGGGGUACUCGAGUGGCGAACGGGUGAGUAACACGUGGGUGAUCUGCCCUGCACUUCGGGAUAAGCUUGGGAAACUGGGUCUAAUACCGGAUAGGACUACGGACUGCAUGGUCUGUGGUGGAAAGCUUUUGCGGUGUGGGAUGGGCCCGCGGCCUAUCAGCUUGUUGGUGGGGUGAUGGCCUACCAAAGGCGACGACGGGUAGCCGGCCUGAGAGGGUGUCCGGCCACACUGGGACUGAGAUACGGCCCAGACUCCUACGGGAGGCAGCAGUGGGGGAUAUUGC
RNAcentral lists this ribosomal RNA (338 nucleotides) under uncultured bacterium. Its description in RNAcentral is "bacterial SSU rRNA". It matches the Rfam family "Bacterial small subunit ribosomal RNA", at positions 28 to 367 of the family's 1533-position model. The record is from RNAcentral.